GAGGGUAUAGCUUUGUGGCAGAGCAUGUGCUUAGCAUGCAUGAGGUCCUGGGUUCAAUCCUCUGUGCUUCCA
RNAcentral lists this transfer RNA (72 nucleotides) under Camelus bactrianus (Bactrian camel). It matches the Rfam family "tRNA". Rfam says of the family: Transfer RNA (tRNA) molecules are approximately 80 nucleotides in length. Their secondary structure includes four short double-helical elements and three loops (D, anti-codon, and T loops). Further hydrogen bonds mediate the characteristic L-shaped molecular structure. tRNAs have two regions of fundamental functional importance: the anti-codon, which is responsible for specific mRNA codon recognition, and the 3' end, to which the tRNAs corresponding amino acid is attached (by aminoacyl-tRNA synthetases). tRNAs cope with the degeneracy of the genetic code in two manners: having more than one tRNA (with a specific anti-codon) for a particular amino acid; and 'wobble' base-pairing, i.e. permitting non-standard base-pairing at the 3rd anti-codon position. The record is from Rfam by way of RNAcentral. RNAcentral also lists the same sequence under 2 other names. Lineage: Eukaryota; Metazoa; Chordata; Mammalia; Artiodactyla; Camelidae.